GUGCUCUCUUUGGCAGCACAUUUACUAAAAUUGGAAUGAUACAGAGAAGAUUAGCAUGGCCCCUGCACAAGGAUGGCACGCAAAUUUGUGAUGCGUUCCAUAUUUUU
This 107-nucleotide small nuclear RNA is filed under the name Pteropus alecto (black flying fox). Lineage: Eukaryota; Metazoa; Chordata; Mammalia; Chiroptera; Pteropodidae. The record is from RNAcentral.